UACGUAGGGUGCAAGCGUUAUCCGGAAUUACUGGGCGUAAAGCGUGCGCAGGCGGUUUGUUAAGUCUGAUGUGAAAGCCCCGGGCUCAACCUGGGAACUGCAUUGGAAACUGGCAAGCUCGAGAAUGGCAGAGGGGGGUGGAAUUCCGCGUGUAGCAGUGAAAUGCGUAGAGAUGCGGAGGAACACCGAUGGCGAAGGCAGCCCCCUGGGCCAAUACUGACGCUCAGGCACGAAAGCGUGGGGAGCAAACAGG
Molecule: ribosomal RNA, 253 nt
Filed under: uncultured bacterium
Lineage: Bacteria
Description: partial 16S ribosomal RNA
Rfam family: Bacterial small subunit ribosomal RNA
Source: RNAcentral